Molecule: ribosomal RNA, 865 nt
Filed under: uncultured bacterium
Lineage: Bacteria
Description: bacterial SSU rRNA
Rfam family: Bacterial small subunit ribosomal RNA
Source: RNAcentral
AGAGUUUGAUCAUGGCUCAGAUUGAACGCUGGCGGAAUGCUUUACACAUGCAAGUCGAACGGCAGCACGGGAGCAAUCCUGGUGGCGAGUGGCGAACGGGUGAGUAAUAUAUCGGAACGUGCCCAGUCGUGGGGGAUAACGUAGCGAAAGCUACGCUAAUACCGCAUACGAUCCAUGGAUGAAAGCGGGGGAUCGCAAGACCUCGCGCGAUUGGAGCGGCCGAUAUCAGAUUAGGUAGUUGGUGAGGUAAAGGCUCACCAAGCCGACGAUCUGUAGCUGGUCUGAGAGGACGACCAGCCACACUGGGACUGAGACACGGCCCAGACUCCUACGGGAGGCAGCAGUGGGGAAUUUUGGACAAUGGGCGCAAGCCUGAUCCAGCAAUGCCGCGUGCAGGAUGAAGGCCUUCGGGUUGUAAACUGCUUUUGUACGGAACGAAACGGUGAGCUCUAAUACAGUUUGCUAAUGACGGUACCGUAAGAAUAAGCACCGGCUAACUACGUGCCAGCAGCCGCGGUAAUACGUAGGGUGCGAGCGUUAAUCGGAAUUACUGGGCGUAAAGCGUGCGCAGGCGGUGAUGUAAGACAGAUGUGAAAUCCCCGGGCUCAACCUGGGACCUGCAUUUGUGACUGCAUCGCUAGAGUACGGUAGAGGGGGAUGGAAUUCCGCGUGUAGCAGUGAAAUGCGUAGAUAUGCGGAGGAACACCGAUGGCGAAGGCAAUCCCCUGGACCUGUACUGACGCUCAUGCACGAAAAGCGUGGGGAGCAAACAGGAUUAGAUACCCCUGGUAGUCCACGCCCUAAACGAUGUCAACUGGUUGUUGGGUCUUCACUGACUCAGUAACGAAGCUAACGCGUGAAGUUG